AGCCACCGCUAUUGGACUUCGCUUAAACCAUGCGAGUCGAGAGGGUUCGGCCCUCGGCAGACCGCUCAGUAACACGCGGACAACCUGCCCUUGGGUGGAGGAUAAGCUCGGGAAACUGAGUAUAAUACUCCAUAGACCAUCUAUGCUGGAAUGCUUGAUGGUCAAAAGCUACGGCGCCCAAGGAUGGGUCUGCGGCCUAUCAGGUCGUAGUUGGUGUAACGGACCAACUAGCCUUCGACGGGUACGGGCCUUGAGAGAGGUAGCCCGGAGAUGGACUCUGAGACAUGAGUCCAGGCCCUACGGGGCGCAGCAGGUGCGAAAACUUCGCAAUGUGGGAAACCACGACGAGGGGAGUCCAAGUGCUUGCACAACGUGUAGGCUGUUUCCGUGCCUAAAAAGCACGGAGAGUAAGGGCUGGGUAAGACGGGUGCCAGCCGCCGCGGUAAUACCCGCAGCCCGAGUGGUGGUCGCUAUUAUUGGGCCUAAAACGUCCGUAGCCUGCCCGGUAAAUUCUUGGGGAAAUCGGUCAGCUCAACUGACCGAAGUCCGAGGAGACUGCCGGGCUUGGGACUGGGUGAGGUCAGAGGUACUUCAGGGGUUGGGGUAAAAUCCUGUAAUCCUUGAAGGACCACCAGUGGCGAAGGCGUCUGACUAGAACGGAUCCGACGGUAAGGGACGAAGCCCUGGGGCACAAACGGGAUUAGAUACCCCGGUAGUCCAGGGUGUAAACGCUGUGGGCUUGGUGUUGGGAGUCCUACGAGGGCGCCCAGUGCCGGAGAGAAGUUGUUAAGCCUACUGCCUGGGGAGUACGCUCGCAAGAGUGAAACUUAAAGGAAUUGGCGGGGGAGCACCGCAACGGGUGGAGCGUGCGGUUU
RNAcentral lists this ribosomal RNA (875 nucleotides) under uncultured archaeon. RNAcentral's name for it is "bacterial SSU rRNA". It matches the Rfam family "Archaeal small subunit ribosomal RNA", at positions 21 to 903 of the family's 1478-position model. The record is from RNAcentral.